UACGUAGGCAGCGAGCGUUGUUCGGAAUUACUGGGCGUAAAGAGUGUGUAGGCGGUGCUCUAAGUUCGGUGUGAAAUCUCCCGGCUCAACUGGGAGGGUGCGCCGAGUACUGAAUGACUAGAGUGCGGGAGAGGAAAGUGGAAUUCCGGGUGGAGCGGUGAAAUGCGUAGAGAUCCGGAGGAACACCGACGGCGCAGGCAGCGCCCUGGGUGUGAUAGCUGACACUGAGGCACGAAAGCUGGGGGAGCAAACAGG
RNAcentral lists this ribosomal RNA (255 nucleotides) under uncultured bacterium. Its description in RNAcentral is "partial 16S ribosomal RNA". It matches the Rfam family "Bacterial small subunit ribosomal RNA", at positions 524 to 776 of the family's 1533-position model. The record is from RNAcentral.